RNAcentral lists this RNase P RNA (449 nucleotides) under Pirellulales bacterium. RNAcentral's name for it is "RNase P RNA component class A". It matches the Rfam family "Bacterial RNase P class A". Rfam says of the family: Ribonuclease P (RNase P) is a ubiquitous endoribonuclease, found in archaea, bacteria and eukarya as well as chloroplasts and mitochondria. Its best characterised activity is the generation of mature 5'-ends of tRNAs by cleaving the 5'-leader elements of precursor-tRNAs. Cellular RNase Ps are ribonucleoproteins. The record is from RNAcentral. Lineage: Bacteria; Pseudomonadati; Planctomycetota; Planctomycetia; Pirellulales.
AUAGUGGGCCAGAUGGUCGCCGGCCGCGAGCCUGAUCGAGCCGCCAUAUCGGCUUUUGCGGGUUGCGGCGGGAGGAAAGUCCGGGCUCCGAAGGACGCGGUGAUGGGUAACCCCCACCGGCCGUGAGGCCAGGGAAAGUGCAGCAGAAAGUAAACCGCCUCGUGGACUCGAUCCACGCGGUAAGGGUGAAACGGUGAGGUAAGAGCUCACCAGCGGGUUGGGUGACCAACCCGGCUAGGCAAACCCCACCGGGAGCAAGGUCAAACAGGGAGCUGUGACCAACGCCGGCCUUUGGUCGCGCUGCGGUCCGCGGGCUGGUCCGGCCCGUUGUCGACUUCCGGGUAGACCGCUUGAGCGGCCGAGUAAUCGGUCGCCUAGAGAAAUGGCCAUCGCCCGGGCCGGCAUAGGCCACCCGGGAACAGAACCCGGCUUAUCGGCCCACUAUUUCC